Molecule: ribosomal RNA, 60 nt
Filed under: uncultured bacterium
Lineage: Bacteria
Description: partial 16S ribosomal RNA
Source: RNAcentral
AUUCCUUGACAUCCGGAGAAUUUGCAAGAGAUUGUUUAGUGCCUUCGGGAACUUCGUGAC